RNAcentral lists this unclassified non-coding RNA (269 nucleotides) under Amyloxenasma allantosporum. RNAcentral describes it as "partial internal transcribed spacer region". The stretch from base 1 to 46 matches the Rfam family "Eukaryotic small subunit ribosomal RNA", at positions 1786 to 1831 of the family's 1831-position model. The record is from RNAcentral. Lineage: Eukaryota; Fungi; Basidiomycota; Agaricomycetes; Amylocorticiales; Amylocorticiaceae.
AAGUCGUAACAAGGUUUCCGUAGGUGAACCUGCGGAAGGAUCAUUAUUGAAAUAUCUGAGAGGGGUUGUCGCUGGUCUCGUCAGAGGCAUGUGCACGCCCCGAUCGAUCUCCAUACACCUGUGCACCUUCUGUAGGGCUUGGCGGAUGCGCGAGCGUCCUGUCGGGCUCUACGUUUUUACACACCCCAACGUAUCAGAAUGUCUUGUUAUUCUGCGGUAACACGCAGAAGAAUUAAAUACAACUUUCAACAACGGAUCUCUUGGCUCUC